RNAcentral lists this ribosomal RNA (579 nucleotides) under Triticum aestivum (bread wheat). RNAcentral's name for it is "partial small subunit ribosomal RNA". Lineage: Eukaryota; Viridiplantae; Streptophyta; Magnoliopsida; Poales; Poaceae. The record is from RNAcentral.
AUGGCAGGACCUGACAGCCCGGGAAAGAGCGUUGUGGAUUCAGGGAACAGCGGCUGCGGCGCUCUGGUCGUACCUCAGCGCGUCGUCCGCGACACCGGCGGGGCCUGGCCCAUGCUGACACGCACCAACUAUGCCGAUUGGGCCCUCCUGAUGCAAGUCAUGCUGGAGGCGCGCCAGCUCUGGGUCGCCGUCAACGACGGGACUCCGAAGCGCGAGACGGACCGCACGGUAAUGGAGUGCUUGUUGCGAUCAGUGCUGCCGGAGAUGGUGUCCACGCUCGCCGUGAAGCCCACGGCGAAGGAUGCCUGGGGCACGAUCAAGACAAUGCGGCUGGGUGUAGCACGCGUGUGCGAGGCCAAGGCGACGUCGCUGCGUCGUCAGUAUGAGGCGAUCAAGUUCAACGACGGCGAGAUCAACGAUGAUUUCGGUAUGCGCCUGUCCUCUCUGGUCACUCAACUUGAGUUGCUAGGUGACAAGAUCGGUGAGCCCGCCGUCGUCCGCAAGUUCCUCUCGGUCGUCCCCAAGGCGUACUCGCAGAUGGCAUGCGCGAUCGAGACGCUGGUCGACCUCACCACGCUG